Molecule: ribosomal RNA, 327 nt
Filed under: uncultured eukaryote
Lineage: Eukaryota
Description: partial 18S ribosomal RNA
Rfam family: Eukaryotic small subunit ribosomal RNA
Source: RNAcentral
CCCUUAGAUGUUCUGGGCCGCACACGCGCUACACUGAAGGAGGCAGCGUGUACUCCUGGAUCGAAAGAUUUGGGUAACCCGCGAAUCUCCUUCGUGCUAGGGAUUGAGGUUUGCAAUUAUCCUUCAUGAACGAGGAAUUCCCAGUAAGUGCGAGUCAUAAGCUUGCGCUGACUACGUCCCUGCCCUUUGUACACACCGCCCGUCGCUACUACCGAUUGAAUGAUUUAGUGAGGACUUCGGACUGGGACCGAUGCGGCUUUCGGGCUGCGUCGGUAUUCUGGAAAGAUGUCCAAACUGUAUCAUUUAGAGGAAGUAAAAGUCGUANCA